Molecule: ribosomal RNA, 454 nt
Filed under: uncultured Prevotella sp.
Lineage: Bacteria; Pseudomonadati; Bacteroidota; Bacteroidia; Bacteroidales; Prevotellaceae
Description: partial 16S ribosomal RNA
Rfam family: Bacterial small subunit ribosomal RNA
Source: RNAcentral
ACGGGAGGCAGCAGUGAGGAAUAUUGGUCAAUGGAGGCAACUCUGAACCAGCCAUCUCGCGUGAAGGAAUACGGCCCUACGGGUCUUAAACUUCUUUUAUAGGGGGAUAAAGUGAGGCAUGCAUGCCUUUUUGUAGGUACCCUAUGAAUAAGCAUCGGCUAACUCCGUGCCAGCAGCCGCGGUAAUACGGAGGAUGCGAGCGUUAUCCGGAUUUAUUGGGUUUAAAGGGAGCGUAGGCGGUAUUUUAAGCGUGUUGUGAAAUGUAGAUGCUCAACAUCUGAAUUGCAGCGCGAACUGGAGUACUUGAGUGCGCAGGAAGUUGGCGGAAUUCGUCGUGUAGCGGUGAAAUGCUUAGAUAUGACGAAGAACUCCGAUUGCGAAGGCAGCUGACUGUAGCGUAACUGACGCUGAAGCUCGAAGGUGCGGGUAUCGAACAGGAUUAGAUACCCUGGUA